This 448-nucleotide ribosomal RNA is filed under the name uncultured bacterium. Its description in RNAcentral is "bacterial SSU rRNA". It matches the Rfam family "Bacterial small subunit ribosomal RNA", at positions 355 to 825 of the family's 1533-position model. The record is from RNAcentral.
UGGGGAAUCUUGCACAAUGGGCGAAAGCCUGAUGCAGCGACGCCGCGUGGGGGAUGAAGGCCUUAGGGUCGUAAACCCCUUUCAGCAGGGACGAAAAUGACGGUACCUGCAGAAGAAGCCCCGGCCAACUACGUGCCAGCAGCCGCGGUAAGACGUAGGGGGCGAGCGUUGUCCGGAUUUAUUGGGCGUAAAGAGCUCGUAGGCGGUUGCGUAAGUCGGAUGUGAAAACUCAGGGCUCAACCCUGAGACGCCAUCCGAUACUGCGCUGACUUGAAUCCAGUAGGGGAGUGUGGAAUUCCUGGUGUAGCGGUGAAAUGCGCAGAUAUCAGGAGGAACACCCAUGGCGAAGGCAGCACUCUGGGCUGGUAUUGACGCUGAGGAGCGAAAGCAUGGGUAGCGAACAGGAUUAGAUACCCCAGUAGUCCCUGAGCGGGCUGGCAAGGCGCAU